This 395-nucleotide ribosomal RNA is filed under the name Phengodes sp. UPOL 000M29. Its description in RNAcentral is "partial 16S ribosomal RNA". Lineage: Eukaryota; Metazoa; Arthropoda; Insecta; Coleoptera; Phengodidae. The record is from RNAcentral.
CAUCUUUUUUUGAUAAUUGAUUUAAGAUUUGAUCUGCUCAAUGAUUUUUAUUAAAUAGCCGCAGUAUUUUAACUGUGCUAAGGUAGCAUAAUAAAUAGUUUCUUAAUUGGGAACUGGAAUGAAUGAUUGGACAAGAAUUGUACUGUCUCUUAUUUUUUUUAAUGAAUUUUACUUUAUAGUUAAAAGGCUAUAAUGAGAUUAAAAGACGAGAAGACCCUAUAGAGUUUUAAUUGUUUUUUAAUUUGAUUUCUUUAUUAUUUAAAUUUAAUUUUGUUAAUAAUUUUGGUUGGGGUUGCUUUAAGAUUUAAUUAAUUCUUAAUUUUUAAUCAUUAAUUAGUGAUUUUGUUUUCUUUUUUAUAAGAUAAAUUUAAAUUACCUUAGGGAUAACAGCGUAA